Molecule: long non-coding RNA, 324 nt
Organism: Ostrea edulis (European flat oyster)
Lineage: Eukaryota; Metazoa; Mollusca; Bivalvia; Ostreida; Ostreidae
Exons: 3
Source: RefSeq, a predicted model, not a curated record
GUGUCCAUUGGGCAGAUAUGGAGUGAAUUGUAAACAAGAAUGUAUUAGAGGUUAUCAUGGCUAUCUUUGCCGGACCAGCUGCAGUUGUGAAGUAUCCGCAUGCCAUCCAGUUACGGGAUGCCAAGAUUAUUCAAAAUCCACGAGAUUAAUAUUAACGCAGGAAAUGGGAAAUCCCGUUUUCAGGGAGCAUCAUGAAAAUCAGAUUUGGAUGUUGGUCGGCCUUGCUCUCGUUGGAUUCUUAGGGACAACUCUAAUCGCUGGUCUUCUCAUCUACACGAGGAAACUGGGCUGGUGCAAAUCUACUUCACAAUAUCCUUACUUAGG